CCUACGGGGUGCAGCAGUGGGGAAUAUUGGACAAUGGGCGAAAGCCUGAUCCAGCCAUGCCGCGUGUGUGAAGAAGGCCUUCGGGUUGUAAAGCACUUUCAGUGGGGAAGAAAGCCUUGGGGCUAAUACCCUCGAGGAAGGACAUCACCCACAGAAGAAGCACCGGCUAACUCCGUGCCAGCAGCCGCGGUAAUACGGAGGGUGCGAGCGUUAAUCGGAAUUACUGGGCGUAAAGCGCGCGUAGGCGGUCUGAUAAGCCGGUUGUGAAAGCCCCGGGCUCAACCUGGGAACGGCAUCCGGAACUGUCAGGCUAGAGUGCAGGAGAGGAAGGUAGAAUUCCCGGUGUAGCAGUGAAAUGCGUAGAGAUCGGGAGGAAUACCAGUGGCGAAGGCGGCCUUCUGGACUGACACUGACGCUGAGGUGCGAAAGCGUGGGUAGCCAACAGGAUUAGAUACCCCGGUAGUC
This 465-nucleotide ribosomal RNA is filed under the name Vreelandella stevensii. RNAcentral's name for it is "partial 16S ribosomal RNA". It matches the Rfam family "Bacterial small subunit ribosomal RNA", at positions 338 to 795 of the family's 1533-position model. Lineage: Bacteria; Pseudomonadati; Pseudomonadota; Gammaproteobacteria; Oceanospirillales; Halomonadaceae. The record is from RNAcentral.